GCGCCUGUAGCUCAGUUUGGAUAGAGCGUCGGACUUCGAAUCCGCAGGCCGCCCGUUCGAGUCGGGCCAGGCGCGCCA
This 78-nucleotide transfer RNA is filed under the name Candidatus Zixiibacteriota bacterium. Its description in RNAcentral is "tRNA-Arg". It matches the Rfam family "tRNA". Rfam says of the family: Transfer RNA (tRNA) molecules are approximately 80 nucleotides in length. Their secondary structure includes four short double-helical elements and three loops (D, anti-codon, and T loops). Lineage: Bacteria; Pseudomonadati; Candidatus Zixiibacteriota. The record is from RNAcentral.